Hemiscyllium ocellatum (epaulette shark) is the source of this 446-nucleotide long non-coding RNA. RefSeq lists it as uncharacterized. NCBI's taxonomy places the organism in Eukaryota, Metazoa, Chordata, Chondrichthyes, Orectolobiformes, Hemiscylliidae. The record is from RefSeq and is a predicted model, not a curated record. The transcript is spliced from 3 exons.
GUGAAGGCCUUCCUCCUCAGGCGUCCAUGGAUAAUGAGUGAUGGACGAGAAGUGUGGUCUGCAGUACUGCCCCCAUUGAGCUACGUUUCGGAGGUGAAGACGAGGAAAGCUUGGAUUCUCAAAACAUUCCGGAAGAGAUCAAACAUUCAACUCAUGGUAGACUUGUCGUGUGACCAACCCAAAUGGAGAAGGCUCAUUAAUGAGAGUCCCAAGCACAUUGAGAGGUUUUCGGAAGCUGCAGACGUGAGGUCAGGCAUCAGAGGCUGUAUGCAAAACUCCAAACCUUCAAGAAUUACCUGGCCUGUGUGGGGCAGAGGCUGCUGAUCGCAAAUUAGACUAAAUAGCCAUGUCAGAGGCCUUCAAAGCAGAAUGGACUUGUUACCUCCAACAGCAGGAAAACAAUCGCAGUUCAGAAGCUGACAGCACACUUAAUUUGAAAGUGAGAU